GAACGGUCAAGUCAAGCACCAUGUCUCUUGUUCUUUGAUCAACUAUAGCUCUGGAGUUUUUGCAGAUUUUCAAAUAAAACUCAGAGAUUCCUUGUAUGACUCUCUCUAGUCUCUCUUUGGUGGUAUUGCUGGAUCCUUACCAAGGCAGUGAUAAUAUACGCCUUCUCUCAAAGUAUGUAGUAUUUGUGGUAUGAGGCAUAGUCAUAUUGCCUUCUCUCUCACCCUACUCUAAUAAGGUUUGAUAUGUGGAGCUCAUAGGUGGGAGACAGCUAAUACAUACUUACAAGACAUUUAUUGCAUAGUCAAACCAUGGAUCCAGAAGAACAAGUCAAUAAGUCAAAUCAAGAUGUGCAUGUGUGGCGAAUGAAUGAUGCAUGGUAAUGAUGGUGAUAACAAUGGUGAAAGUCUAAUUCUACUUAUGCUCUUUUGAGGGGAUACAUACCUUUCUUGCAUAAAUAUUAUUUGAGGGUUCAUAGCAAACUUUAUUUAUUUAUUUAUUUAGCAAACUAAGCAUAGAUAUAUAUAUAUAAGCAUAAAAUCUUUAUUUGGGUUUUUAUGAUUAUGCAUCUUUUUAUUAUUUGAGUAAAGUAUAAAUGCGAGUAGAAACACUUAGCUAGAUAAAUGGGGGUGCUCUCCCCCAAGCUGGAUUUUGACGUAAUUUCUUCUGAUGUAGCUAGCAGGUGAUGGAUGUGUAUUUGAAUGUCGGCAGCACCCUCACAGCGAUUAGGAUGUCCUCCGUCCGCUUGUCUUCUUUGAUCCUUGAAUUCUAUGGAGCUCAAAUAGACAACAAAGCUUUGUGGAUUAGUUAAGUGUUAGCAUAAAUAUCUAGCCUUUAUCAUGUUGAGCCUCCUUAAUAAAUGUUACUCUCUUUGGUAGGAUCAUAAAUUUAUUUUUAUAUUUUCAUUUUUAUAGGAUAGGAAUAUAUUUAUUUUAUUUUUACACCACCACAACGAAUGUACUUAUGGGUUUUAUGCCACGAGCAUACUCACAUGGGGCUUAGUAUUUUUUAACAUUUUUAUUUUCUUUUCAAGAUAACAUGAUUAACUAAUAAGCUAUUUAAGGAAAGUAAGUAAUUAAAGGGAAAAGGGAAUGCAGAAAGGAUAAAUAUGGAUAACUACCGUUUUUACCUUUCGGUGAGGAUUCAAUGUUUUAAGUCUUCUAAACAAGACUUCUCACUGUGUUCAUUCUUCAGGUGCGUCAUUUGAUUCAGGUGUGGACCUUAACGUCUGCACCUCCUGAUACGGUGUCACCCAUGUUCUUCGUUUGUCUAGCAGUUCAAAAUGCGGCGUUGGCAGUAUCUUACUCAGUGUGUUUGUGCUCGUAGAUCCAGGUCCUUCACUUGGUGGAGUCUGAGAGUUAUAAAACUCCUCCAUGUUUUGCUCAAAGUGUACCUGCUCAUAGAGACAAGGCAGAGAUCAAGUGCAUGGGUCCUGUUGGUGGAAAACACCAACAGAACCAAAAGUGUAUUUGUUCUUCUCUAACCUUUAGCAUAGUAAGCAAGACAAAGUUGGUGGAUGAUAAGCUCAUGAGUGUAGUACUUAUAAUAUUUGUCAGAUC
This 1557-nucleotide long non-coding RNA is filed under the name Sorghum bicolor (sorghum). RNAcentral's name for it is "long non-coding RNA (SBIC_LNC014044)". The record is from RNAcentral. Lineage: Eukaryota; Viridiplantae; Streptophyta; Magnoliopsida; Poales; Poaceae.